This 249-nucleotide ribosomal RNA is filed under the name uncultured bacterium. Its description in RNAcentral is "partial 16S ribosomal RNA". It matches the Rfam family "Bacterial small subunit ribosomal RNA", at positions 100 to 350 of the family's 1533-position model. The record is from RNAcentral.
GGACGGGUGAGUAACACGUGAGUUACCUGCCCCGAAGUGGGGGAUAGCCUUCCGAAAGGGAGAUUAAUACCCCAUGUGAUCGCAAGAUUAAAGGCGGCCAUCUGUGAUGGCUGUCGCUUCGGGAUGGGCUCGCGGACUAUCAGCUAGUUGGUGAGGUAACUGCUUACCAAGGCGAUGACGGGUAGCUGGUCUGAGAGGAUGACCAGUCACUCUGCAACUGAGACACGGUCCAGACACCUACGGGUGGCA